RNAcentral lists this ribosomal RNA (723 nucleotides) under uncultured bacterium. RNAcentral describes it as "bacterial SSU rRNA". It matches the Rfam family "Bacterial small subunit ribosomal RNA", at positions 40 to 735 of the family's 1533-position model. The record is from RNAcentral.
CGGCGUGCUUACACAUGCAAGUCGUACGAGAACUCUUCUGCUUGCAGAAGAUAGUAAAGUGGCGCACGGGUGAGUAACGCGUGGGUAAUCUACCUCUGAAUCGGGGAUAACCCGCCGAAAGGCGAGCUAAUACCGGAUAAUAUCUUUAAAACUUAGGUUUUUAAGAUCAAAGGUGGUCUCUACAUGUAAGCUACUGUUUGGAGAUGAGCCCGCGUACCAUUAGCUUGUUGGUAGGGUAAUGGCCUACCAAGGCCGCGAUGGUUAGCUGGUCUGAGAGGAUGAUCAGCCACACUGGAACUGACACACGGUCCAGACUCCUACGGGAGGCAGCAGUGAGGAAUUUUGCGCAAUGGGGGAAACCCUGACGCAGCAACGCCGCGUGAGUGAUGAAGGCUUUCGGGUCGUAAAGCUCUGUCAAGUGGGAAGAGCCUGCUCGAUGUUAAUACCAUCUAGCACUGACGGUACCACUAAAGGAAGCACCGGCUAACUCCGUGCCAGCAGCCGCGGUAAUACGGGGGGUGCAAGCGUUAUUCGGAUUUAUUGGGCGUAAAGGGCGCGUAGGCGGUCUCUAAAGUCAGAUGUGAAAGCCCGGGGCUUAACCCCGGAAGUGCAUUUGAAACUUAGGGACUUGAGUAUGGGAGAGGGAAGUGGAAUUCCUGCUGUAGCGGUGAAAUGCGUAAAUAUCAGGAGGAACACCAGUUGGCGAAGGCGACUUCCUGGAAC